AGUGGUUUUGGUGGACGUGGAGGCAUGUUCGAGGACGUAUUGCCUCAACAUCUAGGACUUCACUUUUAUGGCGCCGUUGGCUUGCCAUUGGACGAUCGAAUGCGCAAAGCAGUUCCCAACAUUAUAAUAUUCUUUCCUUCUUUUCAUAUAUUUUUUACUACACAUGAAUAAUUUUUAAAUUUGCUUACAUACAAUGCAGCUUAUCAACCCUAUUAGAUGGCUUUUCGUCAACCUCAUUUAAAAAAGUACAUAUCUCUUUUCUUUUCAAGUACCUGUUCGAAACAUAGCACCACGAGAUGCCAUCCCGAUGGUUUUAAUUGCUGCAAUGGGUGGAGUUGCACCAAAUCGGAUAACGUAUGAGAGGCUACCUGUGGAGGCCUGCUUAGAGCAGCUUCAGGUUCAUGGAUACUUUGUGCUAGAUUUUUCAUAUUUUUGAAUAAAGCGUCUCGAGGCGGAAGAAAGCAAUGUUAUUCAGACUACUGGGAGGCUUUGUCAGUUUAAUGAAGAUAACAUUUUCGAAUAAAGCGUCUUGAGGCAGAAGAAAGCAAUGUUAUUCAGACUGCUGGUAGGCUUUGUCAGUUUAAUGAAGAUAACAUGAUCUCCUCCAAGGUACUACCAACGCGGCAAUGAGCUUUUGGGCGAUUCUAGAUCAAGUCAUUGAAGCGAUGGAUGUAACUUACAUGGGUGGAGAGCCAUCUUCACCAGAGGUUUGAAGUUUCAAGCAAAACUCACCUUCUACUGGACAAAUCAGCUUAAAACUCUAUUCUUUGAUAGCUUAACACUCUAUUGUUCGAUAUUUGUAGUACUGUAUGUGUCUAUCAUUGGUAAGCGAAGGAGAAUGCACUUGUUCGUGCUUUAGCUUAUUUUGUUGAAGUUUAGGUUGGACGAUUGGAGACCUUAACUAUCUUCCAUAUCUACAGAAGCGGGUUGGAGGAGCGUGAAUGUGUAAUAUGUAUGGAUGUACCCUUGCCCUUUUCUUAUAGAUUUGAACUUGCACUA
Molecule: long non-coding RNA, 999 nt
Organism: Panicum hallii
Lineage: Eukaryota; Viridiplantae; Streptophyta; Magnoliopsida; Poales; Poaceae
Exons: 2
Source: RefSeq, a predicted model, not a curated record